AUGAAUACUGUCUUGGAGAAAUGUGGAAAUUACUGCCACUUUAUUGUGUAUUCAGAGGCUUUUUCUUUUUUUCUUUUUUUUUUUUUGUUUGUUUAUUUUUUGAAAAUGAUACCAAAUAACUAUUUUUACAAGACCUAUGAGCAAUUGUUUCCAUGCUGGACUAAGACAAAGAAGCAGUUGCUGGCACUGCCAAUAAUAUAUCUGCCUGCUAAUCAAAGGACAACACGUUCAUAUGUCUUCAGUGUAAGAGGUGGCUUCCAGAAAACUCCAGCUGACUGCCUGGGGUGCCUGCUUUAGGCUUUUUGAAUACUGUAGCAUCCCAAAUCUUCACUGAUUCCAACUGCUGCUGACAAACCCUGCACUUCUUUAGUCACUGGAGAGAAGUGGUCACCAUGUCUGAGUGGAGGUCUGACUAAGACCCAACAAUGCAUUUUGUUUUCUUUUCUCCAGAAGAAGGAAGAGUGAAUAAUUCUAAAGAAUUGAGGGGGAAAAGUAAAAAUCCUGUGGGCUUGGAUCUUGUUUGCCAUUGUUUCCCUAGGAAGAAGACAAGAAGAGAGUCACAAAUAUUUUUUUCCAAUGGGUUUUGUUUGCUUCAAAGAUUGGACUGAGUUCUCUUCUUCUUGAGGGGCAGGAGAACUAUGAGUACCUCUGCUCACAAGCCUAUUUCUCAAAGUAUAUCAUGUGCAGGAACAUCUCCAAUGAACUUGUUCACAGCCAUCUCUUAGAGUUCUUAGAAAUGAAAAACCAGUUCUGAAAGAGUUUAUCUGUGCUGGUCUUGUCUCAAAUAAGGCAUCCACACACUGUCUCUUAAUGUUCAGUGCUAAGCAUGUUCAGACACCGGAUGAUUCUGCACAGGGAGACAGGUUGUUUGCUAGAGGUAACAGCUCUCAGAGGUGAAGCAGGAAAGGUCUUCAAAACCAUGGACAGUUUUUUAUAAGUGACACAUCUGAAAAAGAACAGCAAAGAAACUGAGGAAAGUUUUGAAAUUUACCUUUGUCAUAUUGAUCUUUAGUGUUGCCAUCAUUAAGUAUAAAUUUGAAUGUGUACGUUCUGAGUGAAAAAAAAACCCAGAGGUAUAAAAUAUAAUAU
This 1089-nucleotide long non-coding RNA is filed under the name Meleagris gallopavo (turkey). RNAcentral's name for it is "lncRNA (ENSMGAG00000020645.1)". The record is from RNAcentral. Lineage: Eukaryota; Metazoa; Chordata; Aves; Galliformes; Phasianidae.